RNAcentral lists this transfer RNA (72 nucleotides) under Caudoviricetes sp. RNAcentral's name for it is "tRNA-Phe". It matches the Rfam family "tRNA". Rfam says of the family: Transfer RNA (tRNA) molecules are approximately 80 nucleotides in length. Lineage: Duplodnaviria; Heunggongvirae; Uroviricota; Caudoviricetes. The record is from RNAcentral.
GCCGUGAUAGCUCAAUGGUAGAGCGCGACGUUGAAGGCGUCGGCGUUCUUGGUUCAAGUCCAAGUCACGGCA